This 471-nucleotide unclassified non-coding RNA is filed under the name Echinolaena gracilis. RNAcentral describes it as "partial external transcribed spacer". Lineage: Eukaryota; Viridiplantae; Streptophyta; Magnoliopsida; Poales; Poaceae. The record is from RNAcentral.
UUGGCUACGCGAGCGCAUGAGUUGUGUUGGACCUGUGACUGCCGAUAGAACCCCUGCCGUUGUGCGGCUGACUAUCGGCGCCUGUGUCCCUUCAAUCGUUGGCGAUUGAGCCUAACCCUUUCAAGAGUGCUUGUGUGCUGCUACCAGUUACGCUGGAAGUUGCGAUCGCUUACAUGUGCCAUCGUCGUGCCCGUCCUUAGGGCGUGGCUCGUCGACUAGAAAGCUUCCACGUCGUAGCCUCGUGUAGCUAGCCGAAAUGGUUGGCAACAUCAAGGCCACCUCGUGCCUGCUCUUGGUUUCGGAUGUGGCUAACGUUGUAGGCUGAAGGCGCCGUGGCGUCACAUGCCUAGCAAAGAAUGUUCAGUCGGAAACGACAGUCGGGUCAAUUGAUGCCUUGUGCAGAAACUGGUCUCGGCUCGUCGAUGAGGACGUGCUACCUGGUUGAUCCUGCCAGUAGUCAUAUGCUUGUCU